UUAUGAUUAAUAUAACUUCAGUUGAUUCACUGAUGAUCAACUACUGAAUGUUCAUUAGAAAUCAGCAGCAUAUAGAAAACUAUUGAGAAAUAUAAUCUGAUACUGAUACAAAGUCUUAAUAAGUGGAGAAAUUUCAUUUAAUAUCUUUUUAAACAGAAUUUAAGUUGUUUUUUUUUUUAAUCAGUAUGACAGAUUUUCUCCUGAAAGGAAGCAGCUUUGAAUAAGUGCACCACCCCUCUGUUUCAGACGGACUGUCCUCCGGCCAGGACUAUAAACAGCAGGUCUCGUCUGUUCUCACUCAUUCUUAUCAAAGAUGACUGCAAACGCUCUGAUCAUCUGCUCUCUGCUGCUUUCUCUUGCUGGUUGUUUUGCUGAGAUCAUUCUGACUCAGAGUCCAUCCGUGAAUCAAGUGUCCGUGGGAAGCAGCGUCACUCUCAACUGCAGGUCCAGUGCUGAUGUAUCAUCCCAUUUAGCCUGGUAUCACCAGAAACCUGGACAAACACCCAAACUCCUGUUCUCUAGUGUUGGUAGCAAAGUGUCUGGAGUUUCUGAGAGAUUCAGUGAUGGGAGAUCAGGAACAAACUACAUGCUCAGUAUUAGAAAUGUCCAGCCUGAAGAUGCAGGAGAUUAUUACUGUCAGCAGUAUGCUCAAUGGCCAUUAACACAGUGAUACAGAGCCGUACAAAAACCCCUUCAGUGAAAGAGGAACUGCUGAUUUAGACACACACUGCACACAUGCACCUUGAACAUUUAUGAACCCCUUGCAGAAUCUAUGAAAAUGUGAAAAAAUGUAACAAAAUAAGAGGUAUCUUACAACAUACAUGUUGUAAGAUCCCUGCAACUUUUGCAUUUUUUUUUUUUUUUUUUUUAUAAAUUCAGCUAUUUUUUCUUCUUCUUGUGGACUAUUUGUAAACAUAUUUUAUGUAAAAUAUCUUAUUCAGGACAGUACUAAAUAAAAAGUAACAUGCAUUUUGUAUGGUCUCUCUUAUUUUAUUAAAAUUAUUUAUUUUCACAGAUUCUGCAAGGGUAUAUUAGAGAGGUUGGUUGUUUCCAGUUUUGUUCAUUGUCGUUUAAAUUUUAAUGGAACCACUCACUGUCAUAGCAGACACUAACAUAAUAUGUGCUGCAAGGUAUUGUAUACCAUAUCCCAUUGUGCAUAACUGCACACAGAUAUUUCCCGCCAUAAUCGGCUGGUCCUUAUGGAAGCUUAUGGUAGCAAUAUUCAGUUUGAAAUGUAAUAUGCAAAAUGUCAAUGCAUUAUGUAAAAUGGAAAUGCAUUUGUGUAUUUAAAUUUACAUUUUCCACACCAUAUGUGCAACGUUUAUCUAGAUUAUGCAUUAGCUGUCACAGUCACUGUCUGUCGCACUUUCCCCGGACUCCAUUUCCCAGCAUCCCUCUGUCCCUCACCUGCACUCAGUCACCAAUCACCUGCACCUGAAAGCCAUCACCAUUGUUAGCAUUAGCUCUAUAUUUGGACAAUAAAACUUGUAAAAUGAUAGAUAAUCUUCUAUUUAAUUUUGUUUGGAGGAAUGCAAUUAGGCCUAUAAUAUUGAAAAAUUACCUGUAAAGCUGUCUGCAUUUCAUAAAUAAAUGCUU
Megalobrama amblycephala (Wuchang bream) is the source of this 1596-nucleotide non-coding RNA. The record is from the annotation of a RefSeq genome assembly. Lineage: Eukaryota; Metazoa; Chordata; Actinopteri; Cypriniformes; Xenocyprididae.